Molecule: non-coding RNA, 72 nt
Organism: Albula glossodonta (roundjaw bonefish)
Lineage: Eukaryota; Metazoa; Chordata; Actinopteri; Albuliformes; Albulidae
Source: the annotation of a GenBank genome assembly
GCACCGUAGCAUAAUGGUUAAGGAGCUGCUUUUCCAAAGCAGAUGUGGUGGGUUCAAUUCCCAGGUAGUGCA